UGCACGCCGCUUUACGGGACAGGCACGUGUGACCCACCGGUGAUGCACGCUAGCGUCAACGUGUUAAUACCAUAAAGCAUACUCAUAUCGCAACAUUUCAUCGGUAUGACAGGUUUCCUAACCUGGCAAGUCGUCAACUUUGACGAUUAAUAACUCACUUUGCGAGGCACAGCAACACUUUUUCUUCCAGAUUCUUUCGUUUCGUGCAAAAACUCAUCGAAUAAGCGUAAUUUCAUCGAUAUUUGUACUGAUGUAGCUAAACUAAAUAAUUACUAUUGCUUUUACUAUGGUACAGCCGCCGGAAGGACAUUAUUAAAAAAGGACAGUCUUCUAUUGUUAUAUCUUACAUCAGCAGAUGUAUCUAUACAGGAAGAAAGAAACGAAUUUUCAAAUAGUGAGUCUGAAUUAUCAUACAAAUUCUUUGCAUCAACAAGUGAAACAAAUAAAACAUGUUGUACUGAGGACACUGCUAUAAAAAGAUCUGGCGAUGUCCUUGAGGAUGAAAUCCCAAAGAAGCAAAUUUGUUUGGAGAAUAGGCUUGUGGAAAAAUCAGCUACAGAUGAUUCAGUUGAAUCUUAUCGGUUGCAAGAAAUAAGAAAGGAAUUAAUUACAAAAGGUAAAACAAUAUCUUUUUUAAAACGGCAAGUUUGAUGAUUAUGUUAAAUGAAAUAUUCCAUAAAACAUAAUCAAAGAACUUAUAUUUGUCAUAUUUGACAUAUGUCAUGCCAGCAAACUAGUACGGAAUACAUUUGGAGAUAAAACAAUAUUAACAGAUGGUGAUGGAAAUACAAUCAAGUGAGAUUAUUUGUAAAAAUUAGUUGCGUAUCAAUAUCAAUAUAGUUUAUAUGCUGGAAUUAGAAUUAAAAAACGUCACUUAAAUUUUUAAAUAGAGAAAAUCAGAAUUCGCUUAGCUACUCAAGUAUUAAGUUGUAGUGUUGGUAACGCAUUAUAUUUUCUGAGAACAUCAAUCAAACUACCUGAAUUUUUAAAUUCUUUUGGUACAGAGAAAUUUUGUACGUUGAUGAAUAAUACUUUUGACUUGCUCAAUUCGAGACAAAAGUAUAUCAAAGAUUCAAAUAAAAGUUUUAUUAAUUGGAACAAUAUUAUUGAAUUUCGAUCAAAAGUUAUGGAAUAUGAAAAUUACAUUAUAUCGUCUCAUUAUGAUAAUACACUAAUUUUGAAUACUAAACAAAAAUUAGGUUUUUAUAGCUUCAUAGUAUCAAUAUGAAGUUGUAUAGCUAUAUUUAAUUAAUAUACAUCGACUAAUAAGUCACCUCUACA
Molecule: long non-coding RNA, 1281 nt
Organism: Dinoponera quadriceps
Lineage: Eukaryota; Metazoa; Arthropoda; Insecta; Hymenoptera; Formicidae
Exons: 3
Source: RefSeq, a predicted model, not a curated record